GAUGAAGAACGUAGCGAAAUGCGAUACUUGGUGUGAAUUGCAGAAUCCCGUGAACCAUCGAGUCUUUGAACGCAAGUUGCGCCCGAAGCCAUUAGGCCGAGGGCACGCCUGCCUGGGCGUCACACGUCGUUGCCCCCCCAUCUACUCCUUCGGGAUUGCGGGGGGCGGAUGAUGGCCUCCCGUGCGCCUUGCCGCGCGGUUGGCAUAAAUGCCAAGUCCUCGGCGACGCACGCCACGACAAUCGGUGGUUGCGAAACCUCGGUUGCCCGUCGUGUGCGGUCGUCGCGCAUCGAGGGCUCGAAAAAAUUGCCGGGUUCCGGCUCGGCUUUCAACGCGACCCCAGGUCAGGCGGGGUUACCCGCUGAAUUUAAGCAUAUCAAUAAGCGGAGGA
RNAcentral lists this unclassified non-coding RNA (391 nucleotides) under soil metagenome. Its description in RNAcentral is "partial contains 5.8S ribosomal RNA, internal transcribed spacer 2, and large subunit ribosomal RNA". The stretch from base 1 to 122 matches the Rfam family "5.8S ribosomal RNA", at positions 35 to 154 of the family's 154-position model. The record is from RNAcentral.